AACGGGUUUUGGUCCCGUUAAUCGGAGGUUCGAAUCCUUCCGUCCCAG
This 48-nucleotide transfer RNA is filed under the name Cypella osteniana. Its description in RNAcentral is "partial tRNA-Gln". It matches the Rfam family "tRNA", at positions 25 to 71 of the family's 71-position model. Rfam says of the family: Transfer RNA (tRNA) molecules are approximately 80 nucleotides in length. Their secondary structure includes four short double-helical elements and three loops (D, anti-codon, and T loops). Further hydrogen bonds mediate the characteristic L-shaped molecular structure. tRNAs have two regions of fundamental functional importance: the anti-codon, which is responsible for specific mRNA codon recognition, and the 3' end, to which the tRNAs corresponding amino acid is attached (by aminoacyl-tRNA synthetases). tRNAs cope with the degeneracy of the genetic code in two manners: having more than one tRNA (with a specific anti-codon) for a particular amino acid; and 'wobble' base-pairing, i.e. permitting non-standard base-pairing at the 3rd anti-codon position. The record is from RNAcentral. Lineage: Eukaryota; Viridiplantae; Streptophyta; Magnoliopsida; Asparagales; Iridaceae.